UUUUUUUUUUGUUGAAUUAUGGACCCCAGUAUCGAUUUUGAAUCAUUAUCCAAAGUUCUGAAUCAAGUUGAGAGACUUGAUUUUGCAGAUUGAGGUAUAUCUGUUCAAGUUGAGUCAUGAUCUUAUCAACUUUGGUGUCAGUCUGCUUAACUUGAGACGCAACCUUUUCAAUUUUGUCAUCAAGGGUUCUAAAAGCCUAAUUUUGUGCUCUGGUAUUCUGUGUUUGCCAGUUUAGGGCGGCUUUAAAAGGUCUUGGAUCCUCAAGUUGGCCUGUGGGAGUUACUAGAGAUGGGACAAAAGGUUUGGUGACAACCUUUGUCUGAGGAUCUGUGUGUUUUUCCAAAAAUGGAAACUGCUCUUGGUAUGAGCUGGAUGAAAACAUCAUGCAAGACUGGAUUGGUGAUGUUGCAUACUAUACUGAUUAGCCUCUUGUUUGCAUGUCUUUUGCUGAUACUCCUUUUGAAUAAGGUUUAACCCUUUUCUAUAGAUCAGCAAAGGAGUUGUACUGUCUGGGUCAUCUGGAGGCAAAGAAGGCCUUUGUUGGCAUGGUUCCAUCUUAUGACUUUUCUUUUUCCGAUGUCUAGGCCGUCUAUUAAAGUCAUCAUCAUCCUCUUCUUUAAGGCAUGGACAGUCUGGAUCACACAUAUGGGAACCUGGAACAUCCCAUAAAAAGUUACCAUUAAUCUUAUCCGGGUAAAUCGGAUAGCCAUCAGAAGCAAAUCCAUGGAUGAGAAUGUCUUCAUGUGCUGUUGGAACAACCGUAAUCAUGGAAGAGUAAAAGAAAGAAUUUCUGGGUGGUGUUUGUUCAGUUGGUGGCGUCCUCACCCUUUGAGAGCUCUUUUAGGGCUGAGUUAGGCUUCGGCCCAAACUGGUAUCAGAGCCCAGGUGUUCACCGGGGGGAAUAUGAGUGUGUGAAAGAUAAGCACCUCAUCCCACAUCGGUUGGGAUCCUGGCUGUGUGCUAGCUUAUAAGUGCUGGGCAGUCCUCACCCUUUGAGAGCUCUUUUGGGGCUGAGUUAGGCUUCGGCCCAAACCCAUAACACAUCUUCAGUGGUGUCUCUGGUCGGAUCAAGGGUUAAACCUGUAAGGAACAUAUUUUCUGGGUGGAAAGUGGAAAAAUGAAAAGGGUCGGUGACAAGGUAAGCUUUCAUGAAAAAGCGAAAGAGAGCUUUUCUAGCAUCGUUUUAUGGCCAUUUUACCGGCCGUGCACGCGCGCGAACGGGUGCCGACAGCACACGCGUUUUGGCCAAAUUUCGCCUUUGUGCAAGCCACUUAGAUCUGCUGUACCGUACAUCCGCCUUGGCCGUACAGCAGGUCUCUUGAUCAAUGUUCCCUCCAAUCUACUUCUGCUGAGCAGUAUGUCACUUUAGAAAUUUCCCCUGAGCUCAUUUCCCACUGGAAACAGCAACGAUAUACUCACUUUCAUCUCGGUGGUGUCCGCCUUAUUCUCACCCUCCAUGGGCGAAAAGGUCUUCCUGUCACAGCCCGUAUUGCACUCCUUGACACCCGCUUCAAACAAUAUGAGCAGGCUACCAUUGGUACUGUCCUCACUACCCUGCAUGCUGGCAGUGUUGUUCUCACUGUCUAUCCCAACUUCAAUCUUUCCCUUGAUGACCCCAACCUUUCCACUUUCUUAAAAAUCCAAGUUCAGAUUCAAGGAGCUGAACAAGUCUCCAGUGCAAAGAUUGCUACCGUCCACCAUCAGUUGGUUUACAGACUUCAGAACCACUCCCUUAUCCUUCCCACACCUCCCGAUCUCAGUUCAGAUACACUCAUGAUCCUUGCUGAAUCUCCAGACAUCCCUACCAUUAUCCAGAUCCCACGACAGAUCCCUCGUGCUGAUCUUCUCAAGAUCAUGCCUCUCGAGUGGAUAACCAACUAUGAGCAUUUCCAUCAAAACACCACUCCUGUUCAAACCUCUGAACCCAUGUAUGAGAAACGACCUGAUGGUUCUAUUCGCCUUCAGUUCAAACCUCCUCCUUCUGCCCCUGCAGAACCUCCCCGAUUAUCCUUUACUUGCUCAAUGGUCCAACCUGUUGACAUCAUUCCAGAAGUCCUUCCUUCUGGAAAAACAUUACCCAUUAUGUCCUUCACCUCCCAAGGUACUCCUGUUUACCCAGACAAAAUUGAUGGCCAUUUCUUCUGGGAUGUUCCUGGCUCUGGCCGAUGUGAUCCCGGCUGUCCAUGUAAUGAUGAUGAGGAUGAUUAUUCCUCCAGACCAAAAAAGAAGAACAUUAUCUAUCUUGCCUGCAAAUUAUACCUGCCCGAAGAUGAUGAUGAUGAACCCGAUUAUCCACCUCCUUUGCCACUUUACAACAAAGGACUUCAGUGGAUCCAGAAACAUCAGCCCAGAUCAUCCAGUCCGUUCCUCGACUGGUCUUCUGCCUACACCUCCUAUGGUGCCCUGCAUGAUGUUCUCAUCUGCCUCUGCCUCUGCCUCUGCCUCAGAUUAUAGUUCUGAGUACCCGCCUCUUGAGAAACGCUCAGACCAAAAGCACCAGGUCUGGAGCAAACCAUUUGUCAACUCUCCUAUUUCCUCCAGUGGACAUCUUGAAGAACCCAAGCCUUUUGAAGCAGUCCUUAACUGGAAAACUCAGAAUGCCAGAGUCCAGAAUGCUUCUCUUACUUCCUUACACUCUAAAGUUGAUCAGAUCGCUCACAGAUCCUCUGCUGUUGAAACAAGGGUUACUUCCCUCUCAGACCAGUUGACCAAUUUGUAUAAUAGUCUUCAUACUAAGGUUGCACAGCUUGACCGUGACCUUCGAGCCAUGAUUGCCCGCGGUGAUAAUUCUCAUGAGUUCACUCGAAAAGAGCAAGAAAUCAGACAGCUUCAAGCUGAAAUUCUGCUGUACGGCCAAGGCAGAUGUACGGUACAGCAGUUCCUCGAUGUUCUGGUUUUACAGAAAUAAAAAAAAAUUCUCAGAUUCAUAUUAUUUUCUCUCAAUAUUUCUUAGCUUCCAAACAAGCUGUUUUCUCACUUGGUAUCAGAGCCAAAAUAAUGGCGUCUGUUAAUCUAGUUUCUUCAAAUCAGAUCCAAAAUACUCCCGCUGCUUCAACUAAUAUUUCAUUCACCUUCAAUACACCAGUAAAGCUUGAUCAAGCUAACUAUCUCAUAUGGCGAUCUCAAGUGCUUGCUUCAAUUCGUGGCAACAGACUUGAAAAGCAGAUACAUGAACCAGUAUUUCCUGACCUUCCAUCUACCUCAGCCUUACCUCCAUUUACAGAAUCUCCUUCUAAAGCCGAACAAAAGAAGCCUGCUGAAAAUUACCUUAUCAUUGCACCAGAACUUGACCAGCUUAAUAGCUCCUCAGAAGAAUCCAGUCCCUCUGACUCAGUCGAAACCUUUGAUUCUAUCACUGAGACUUCUGAGCCCAAUGGUUUCAGUUCUGAUGAUUCCCAACAGCACUUGACUGAUAUUUCCCGUCUUCUUAUGGCGGAUCAUACUGAGUCUACCACUACUGAUCCCCCUCCUCGGGAACCUGGCCAACCCUAUGUUGACAUUCCUUCCGAUGUUGAAGGAGAAAAUAAAGGAGACAACUCUAAUCCUCCUCCAAGAGUUCGAACUAAAGUUGCCUCUGGCAAUGGACCAUGGUUUACCUUUGAUGAUCUUCCACCGGCUCGGUGGCGUGAACGUCUCCAGGAACUCUCUGCCUGGUUAGAUUUACAAAUGGUUAAACCUAAUGCAGAACUCUCUGCAGUUCUUAAAGAAUUUGUCUCCCGGUUUACUGGCUCUCUCCGUGAUUGGUUUGACAGUCUCGGACAAUACAGUCAAUUACUGUACCUUCGGCACCCUACUGUCUCUGCUGCUCUCAUGGACAUUCAUUCCCAGUUUCUUGGAGAACCUGCAGCUAUCUUUGCCACUGCUCGUAAAGAAUAUCUCCAAAUAAUCCGUCGCCAGAUUGCUAAUGCCCAGCUCGACAUCAACAAUCUUUCUCUUGGUCGUCUCUUCCAGCUGGCUUUAGUGUCUCUUGAUUACCUCUGUGAUUAGAAGAAAUUCUUUCAAAACCUCAUGAAAGACAAAGAAGGUUUCCGAACCGCCUGCAAGAAACCCUACUUGGAAAUCAAGUGCAGAGACUCUAAGCAUUGUACUUGUCCCUCCACGAAGAAACACCACAAAGUCAUAUUUCACAAAAAAUCUUCCAAAACUCCACAGUCACGCCCAUUCCCUAGGCGUCCCAAAAAGAUUCGGUACUUCAGAAGACGAGAACCUUCUGAGAUCCUUGACAGACGAAGAAAAAAGAGCAGAUGCUUCAUUUGCAAAAAGCUCGGACAUUUUGCUAAAGAAUGCCCUAAGAAUCCUAAGCGGUCUCAACGCUUAGUUCAACAGCUUCAGUCCUUACAUCAGUUCUCUCCUGAUACUGACCAAAUCGAGUUUCUAUACUCUGAACAAGAAAGUCCUGACCCGGAUAUAGUUUUUGCCCUUGGCACUUCUGAUUCAGAUUCAGAUUCAGCUUCAUCUACUAAACCAGAAGACUAUUCCCCUGUCUUCCACCUCCGGUCAGUACCUUCAUCCUCCACUCAAUUAUCAGUUCAACCCAUUCCUUCCGUCAAAAUCCAAAUCCUGUUAUCCAAAUACAGUCGGCCCAUUCCUGCUAUUGCCUUCAUAGAUACUGGCGCUCAGCACAGUAUUUUAAACCCUGCUAUUUUGCCGCCUGAAACCUGGAUUUCAAAUAAAAAUCAUUUCCGUGCUGCUAGUGGAAAAUUGUUUUCUACAAAGCUCCGCACUAAGUCUAGAACUGGAAUUCAGCUGUUCCCAAAGCUCACAGUUUGGACCCAUGUUAUUGGGUCUAGCCUACCUGACAAAGAUCUUCUUCUUGGGUUUGAUAUCCUAUUCCAAGCCCAAAAGAUUCAAGUCCUUCCUACUGGUCUCAGAUUCCAGUCCAUGUUCCAACCAUACACAGACCAGCUCAAACUCUAUCAUUUGGCCCAGUCCCCUCCUGAUUAUCAGUCUAUUUCGGCCCAGUUACUAAGGUUUUGUCCUCCAAAUCAUUUGGCCUUUGCCCAUCCACAUCCUCUGUGGAAAAAUCCAGCCCAUUUCGUUAAGCUCCCUUUUAAGCUUAAUGAAGACCUUAAUCCUACCAAAGCAACCCAUCCGGGUAUGCCUCCUUCUGAGCUUCAGUUAGCCCAAACAGAAUGUGCAGAGUUACUCGCCCAAGGCCUCAUUGAGCCCACAACUUCUCCGUGGGCCUGCCAAGCCUUUUAUGUUAAUAAACGUGCCGAAACAUUACGGGGUAAAAAGCGUCUUGUUAUUGAUUAUCAGCCUUUAAACCAGUUUUUACAGGAUGAUAAAUUUCCCUUACCUCGAAAAAAUUCCAUCUUUACCUACCUCCAUAAGGCUCCACCCAAAAGACCUUCCCAAGGCCUGUACAAACUUUUCCUUCCCUCUACCGCCUUCAGGAGUUUGCUAAACAAUUUCAGCUCUUUUUUCAAAGAGAGCGUCAAAAGUUUGAACAUCUUGAGAAUUCUGGUGGAAUUUUUCAUAAUUGGAUAGCCACUCAAGAGGCAUAAGCUUCAAGAGCUCUUACUUUGGGGGCAACAACUAAUAGCUCUUAAUAUUGGAGGUAAUCAAGGGCGUGCUGCCAUAGGAGAGCAAGAUAGUGAUGACCUAGAUAAUUUUGAUGACCAGGCCACCGUUGAUAGGCGUGGAAGAGAUGAUAGAAGGGUAAGACAUAUAGAUCAUGACUUGGGGAGUAUCAAGCUAAAAAUCCCUUCUUUUCAAGGUAAAAACGAUUCGGAAACUUAUUUGGAGUGGGAAAAAAAGAUGGAGCUAGUACUUCACUGCCACAACAAAUUUGAGGAGAAAAAGGUAAAACUAGCUGUUGUUGAAUUUACUGAUUAUGCUAUUAUUUGGUGGGAUCAGCUUGUUUUAAGUAAGAGACGAAAUUGUGAAAGGCCUGUAGACACUUGGGAGGAGAUGAAGGCCAUCAUGAGGAGGAGAUUUGUUCCUAGUCAUUAUUAUAGGGAGCUGCACUAAAGGCUUCCAAGUCUUACAUAAGGUUUCAGAAGUGUGGAAGAUUACCAUAAGGAGAUGGAAAUAAUCAUGAUUCAUGCCAAUAUUGAAGAAGAACGAGAGGCCAUUAUAGCUUUUUACUUGGUUUAAAUCAAGAUAUUGCUAAUGUGGUUGACUUGUAGCACUAUAUUGAGUUGGAUGACAUGGUUCACAUGGCCAUGAAAGUGGAAUGACAACUAAAAAAGAAAAGUUCCACUAGAACCAAUUUGGGUUCAUCUUCCUCAUGCAAGGAAAAAUGGAACAAAAAUGAAAUGGUUGUUUCAAAGCCUAAGAUUUAGCCAUGCAAGGAUCAUAAAGAGGGAGGCAACCAAAGCAAAGGUAAAUCUGAUUCCCAACACUCUAGAAAUAGAGAUAUUAAGUGUUUUAAAUAUUUAGGGAUAGGUCAUAUUGCAUCUCAAUAUCCAAAUAAGAGUGUAAUGAUCUUGAGGGAUGAUGGUGAUGUUGAAACCGAGAGUGAUUCAGAUGAUGAUCCUAUGCUACCUUUGGAGGAUGCUAAUGAUGUUGUAGAGUAUCCUAUUGAUAGUAAAUUGAUGGUUGCAAGUGAAAGAAGAUGCAGAGGUACAACGUGAUAACAUCUUUCAUACUAGAUGCCACAUCAAAGAUAAGGUAUGUAGUAUGAUAAUUGAUGGUGGAAGUUGUACUAAUGUAGCUAGCACUAGUUUAGUUGAAAAUUUGAAUUUGAAAACUUUAAAACAUCCUAGGCCAUAUAAGCUACAAUGGCUGAAUGAUUGUGGGGAAGUUAAAGUAAAUAAACAAGUGCUGGUUUCAUUCUCUAUUAGGAGAUACAAGGAUGAGGUUCUAUGUGAUGUAGAACCCAUGCAUGCUAGACACAUUCUUUUGGAGUGACCUUGGCAAUAUGAUAGGUGUGUGUACUUGAUGGUUACUUAAAUAGAUAUUCUUUUGUAAUGAAUAAAAAGCAAAUCACUCUUGUAUCUUUAACACCUAAACAAGUGCAUGAGGAUCAAAUGUCAAUACAAGAAAAGAGUGAUACAAAAAAUGAAAAUGAGAGUACAAAAUAAAGGGAGAUUGAGAGAAAAACAAGUGGAAUGAUAGAAAAAAAAUUAGAAUAUUGUUGAAAGAAAAGAGAGACAGCAAGUGAAUUUAUUUGCAAAAGAGAGCGAGGUUAAGAGGGCUUUCUUUUCAAAACAGCCUAUCAUUGUACUUUUGUGCAAAGAGGCUUGUUUACAUACUAAUGAGCUUAACUCUUCUUUGCCUAGUGCUAUUGUGACUCUUUUACAAUACUUUGAUGAUGUGUUUCCAAAUGCAGUUCCUAAUGGUUUGCCACCUAUUAGGGGAAUUGAGCAUCAAAUAGACUUUAUCCCUGGAGCUACCAUUCUUAAUAGUCUCACAUAUAGAAGCAACCCUAAGGAGACAAAGGAGCUUCAAAGGCAGGUUGAAGAACUCCUGGCAAAGGGAUAUGUGAGGGAGAGCAUAAGUCCAUCUGCGGUACCAGUUCUACUAGUUCCCAAAAAGGAUAGAGCAUGGACAAUGUGCAUUGACUGUCGUACAAUCAAUAAAAUCAUUGUAAAGUAUAGACAUCUUAUUCCUUGACUUGAUAACAUGCUUGAUGAAUUGCAUGGUUCUUGUGUUUUUAGUAAAAUUGAUCUUAAAAGUGUAUAUCAUCAUAUUAGGAUUAGAGAGAGAGGUAAGUGGAAAACUGCCUUUAAAACAAAAUAUGGUUUAUAUGAGUGGUUAGUGAUGUCAUUUGGGUUAUCUAAUGCACCUAGCACUUUUAUGAGGUUAAUGAACCAUGUUUUGAUUACAUUUUUUUAUCUAUAGUAAAAGUCUAAAUGAACAUAUUGAGCAUUUGCAAAGUGUAUUAACUAUUUUAAGGAAGGCAAAGUUGUAUGCUAAUUUGAAGAAGUGUUCUUUUUGUGCAAAUCCAAUUGUUUUUCUUGGUUAUGUUGUAAGUGCUAAAGGAAUUGAGGUUGAUGAAGAGAAGGCAAAGGCUAUUAGGGAGUGGCCUAUACCUAAAAGUGUAAGUGAGGUAAGAAGUUUUCAUAGUUUGGCUAGUUUUUAUAAAAGAUUUGUAAAAGAUUUUAGCACCCUUAUUGCACCAUUAACUGAAAUUGUGAAGAAACAUGUGGGAUUUAAGUGGGGUAGCGAAUAAGAAAGGGCAUUUUAAUCUAAUCAAGGAGAAAUUGGUUUCUACACCAUUACUUGCUUUACCUGAUUUUGUUAAAACUUUUGAAAUUGAGUGUGAUGCUUCAGGUAUAGGUAUUGGAGCUGCUUUGAUGCAAGAAGGUCAUCCAAUUGCCUAUUUGAUAUGAACCCCAUCAAGAACUGACGCGUCCCCAAGAUUCAUUAUACACCAAGAAUUGAAUGGAACCUUGACCCAAUGUUAUGUGAAGACGCCACGAUCAAUAUGGAUGGUCUGAUUGAUAAGUCAAGAGUUUGAAUGCUCCGGAAAUCUGAUAAGUUCAAAGAGUUUGUAAAGAACCAAAGAGAAUUAACUCCCUCACCAAUUGCAUAAAAAACUUAUCUAUUUAUUGGAUACGAGUACAUUAUCUAGGGUUGGUUGCAAGAAUUUUUGGAAAUAAAUCCUAAACCAAAAAUCAAAUCUAAAUUUGAAUAUAAACAAAUAGGAAAGAAUCUAAAUCAAAUCUGAAUCCUAAUAUAAGUGAAUAUGAAAGAAUCUAAAUCAGAUCGGAAUCCUAAUCUAAGUAAAUAAGAAAGAAUCUAAAUCAAAUCAGGAUCCUAAUUGGUUAGGCGAUUAAAAUAAAAGUAAUUGAUUUGCUUCCCUAAUAGCCUCCUCACCAAUUGUAUAAAAAACUUAUCUGUUUAUUGGAUACGAGUACAUUAUCUAGGGUUGGUUGCAAGAAUUUUUGGAAAUAAAUCCUAAACCAAAAAUCAAAUCUAAAUUUGAAUAUAAACAAAUAGGAAAGAAUCUAAAUCAAAUCUGAAUCCUAAUAUAAGUGAAUAUGAAAGAAUCUAAAUCAGAUCGGAAUCCUAAUCUAAGUAAAUAAGAAAGAAUCUAAAUCAAAUCAGGAUCCUAAUUGGUUAGGCGAUUAAAAUAAAAGUAAUUGAUUUGCUUCCCUAAUAGCCUCCUCACCAAUUGUAUAAAAAACUUAUCUGUUUAUUGGAUACGAGUACAUUAUCUAGGGUUGGUUGCAAGAAUUUUUGGAAAUAAAUCCUAAACCAAAAAUCAAAUCUAAAUUUGAAUAUAAACAAAUAGGAAAGAAUCUAAAUCAAAUCUGAAUCCUAAUAUAAGUGAAUAUGAAAGAAUCUAAAUCAGAUCGGAAUCCUAAUCUAAGUAAAUAAGAAAGAAUCUAAAUCAAAUCAGGAUCCUAAUUGGUUAGGCGAUUAAAAUAAAAGUAAUUGAUUUGCUUCCCUAAUAGCCUCCUCACCAAUUGUAUAAAAAACUUAUCUGUUUAUUGGAUACGAGUACAUUAUCUAGGGUUGGUUGCAAGAAUUUUUGGAAAUAAAUCCUAAACCAAAAAUCAAAUCUAAAUUUGAAUAUAAACAAAUAGGAAAGAAUCUAAAUCAAAUCUGAAUCCUAAUAUAAGUGAAUAUGAAAGAAUCUAAAUCAGAUCGGAAUCCUAAUCUAAGUAAAUAAGAAAGAAUCUAAAUCAAAUCAGGAUCCUAAUUGGUUAGGCGAUUAAAAUAAAAGUAAUUGAUUUGCUUCCCUAAUAGCCUCCUCAAGAAACGGGAAAGUAUCUGAAAAAGGAAACCAUAACGUGCAAACCAACUCCCUAUUUCAUGAAAGUGAUUUAUCAUGUGCGAUUCCUUUAAUGGGCCUCCACGAAUUUGAUUGAGCCCAAGUUGCUUGAAUCAAUCCAUUAAGUGCUUCUUUGAAUUUCUUUGCUCAAGCUCUUAACAGGAACUUGAGUAGGAUAUGAAUAUGCCUCAUCCCAUAGGCUUGUGAUAGUUUUAUCCUUAAUCCAAUUUUAGUGAGAAAUUAGAUGGAGCAGCCCUAAACUACCCUACUUAUGACAAAGAGAUGUAUGCAUUGGUGAGAGCAUUGGAAACUUGGCAAGGUAAGUUGCAUAAGAGUUUGUUAUACACACUGAUCACGAGUCCUUGUAAGUUGCAUAAGAGCUAUGCCCGUUGGAUUGAAUUUAUUGAGCCAUUUCCUUAUAUGAUCAAAUACAAACAAGGUAAGGAGAAUGUGGUGGUUGAUGCAUUAUCUAGAAGGUAUGCACUUAUCUUUACAUUAUCUCUACACCACCAUUUGGUAAGUUCUAUAGGCAUGAUGGGUUCUUAUUUAGAAAGAAUAAAUUGUGUGCGCCUCAUAGUUCUUUGCAUGAAUUGCUUGUGCGUGAACCUCAUGGGGGAGGUUUAAUGGGACAUUUUGGCAUUGCAAGGACUUUAGAUGUUUGAAAAGAACACUUCUUUUGGCCACAUAUGAAACGUGAUGUUGAAAGAAUAUGUGAGAAGUGUAUAGCUUGUAAACACGCUAAGUCUAGAGUUUUAUAACCCUUUACCUUUAACUAGGUCAAAAAGGGGAAAGUAUUAUGUUUUUGUUUAGGUUUUCAAAGAUGGAACAUUUCAUUCCAUGUCACAAAACUGAUGAUGCAACAAACAUUGCUAAUUUGUUUUUCAAGGAAAUAGUUAGAUUGCAUGGAAUACCAAGGAGCAUAGUUUCAGAUCGAGAUGCUAAGUUCUUGAGCCACUUUUGGAAAACUUUACGGGGUAAUUUGGGUAAUAAACUUUUGUUUACAAACUCAAGUUGUAAAUCAAACCUUGUCUACUUUGCUGCGUGCCAUUAUUCAAAAGAACUUGAAAACUUGGGAAGAAUGUUUGCCGCAUGUUGAAUUUUAUUAUAAUAAAACUGUGCAUUUCGCUACAAAAUUUUCACCAUUUGAGAUUGUAUAUGGUUUUAAUCCAUUAACUCCUUUGGGCUUAUUACCGUUACUUAUUGAUGAGCUUACCAAUUUGGAUGACCAGUAGGGACUCAUGACGGGAAACUAAGAUUCAUUGAUUUGGGCAGAUUCAGGGAUAUAGGAGUACUCAACAAGGUUUUUGAUUUUUGAGGAUAUGUGUUUUGAACAAGAUUUGGGAAGGGACAGAGUAGAGGAGAGAGAAAUAUGCGAUGAGGAAGAAGGAGUCGACGAUGAAGUUGGAGUUGUUUCCAUGUUUUGAGAUAUUCUUCUAGGAAAUCUAAGAAAGAUAUGUCUCGGCAAAGAAAGACAUGGCUCUGGAGUGGCUUUUAGUGAAUCUUCUGGUGGGACUGAAGCAACAAAUGAAGAUGAAGUGGCCUUGGACUUUGGUUCUAAGAUUUUGACUUUGGAUUUGGAUUUUUUCGAUGAAGAUGGCUUUGGUGGAGGAGUCGGUUGAAGGUGGGAGAAUCCAAAGAACUGAUUGUAAACAAGUUGUUGUUGAGGUAUGGAUGGAGUAUAGAAAGGUGCAUAGGUGUCAAACAUCGGAGUAGGAAUAGGAGUGGAUGAUGUUUGGGUAAAAAGUGAUGGCCGGGUUUUUUCAUUAUCAAUCCUGGCUAACUCAGCUUUGAGUCGUCUGAUCUCUGCUUCUUUUUUGUUGAAUUCGGGACCCCAUAUGUGAUUGUUUAUCAUUCGUCUGAGAUUUGUGUCUAAUUCAGAGAUUCUGUCCUGAAGAUGUAUGUAUAUCUUAUCAAGACGGCUGCUGAUUGAAUCCACCUUGGUUUCAGUUUGAGAGACUUGACUUGCGACUCGGUCGAGUUGGUGGAGAGUUUGAUUAUGAGCACUGGUGUUUUUGGUUUGCUAGUUGAGAACAACUUCAUAUUGGUUUGGCUCUUUUGGUUGGCCAGAAACAGUAACUGGGGAUUGAACAUAAGGUUUGGAGAUGACUUUGGUCUGUGUGCCUAUUUGUUUUUCAAGUGUGGGAAAAGACUCGUCAUAAGAUUGACUUUGACUUGAAAACAUAAGGCAUGAUCUGAUUGGAUGGACAGGAGGUUUGGGAUCUGGUGGAGGUUGUGGAAGAAAGGAUUUGAAGAUGAUUUUGGAUAAGAAGGCUUUUUCUGCUUCCUUUUCUUUUUUCUCAUAAUUUCCAGUUCUUCAUCAACAUCCGUAUCAUCCAAACAAGGACAAUCCGGAUUACACAUAUGGGCUUCAGGAAGAUCCCAUAGAAAAUGACCAUUGAUUUUGUCAGGGUAAACUGGAUACCCUUCAGAUGAAAAACAUUGGAAGGUUCUUUUCCUGACCAGUUUGGACUGCUGUAAUCAUAACAGUAUAGGAAAACUGGGGAGUGUCUGAAACAGGCUUGGUUUCAGGUGUUUAAAAAGACAGUUUAACCUGUCCAUUUUGUCGUCUUUCAAAUGUGGCUUCCGUUGUUUGAACUGGUUCAGAGUUUUGGUGGAAGUGCUCAUAAUUGGUCAGCCAUUCAAGAGGCAUGAGUGUGAGCAAUUCUUGUUUCUGGAUCUGUUUGGGAAUUUGGAUUAUGGUUGGGAUUGUGUCUGUAUCUGCAAGGAUCAUUAAUGCAUCGGAUGUAGUGUGUGGUGUAGGAAGGUCUAGUGCAUGAUUCUGUAAUCGAUACACUAUUUGGUGAUAAAGGGUUGCAAUCUUUGAUGUGGGUGUUUAUUCUGCUCCUUGGAGCUGGAUCUGGACUUUAAUGGUCAUAGGCAAGUUGGGAUCCUCAACAAAGAGGUUGAAGUUUGGGUAAAAGGUUAACAGGACACUACCAGCAUAAAGAGUAGUCAAAACGGUUCCAAUAACAGCAUGUUGAUACUGUUUGAACCUGGUAUCUAGAAGAGCAAUUCUGGCUGUGACUGGUAAGCCUUUUCUGCCAUGGAGGGUAAGUAUCAAUCGAACACCACCAAGAUGGAGAUGCGUAUACCCUUCGCGUUUCCAGUUUGCUACAAGAUCUGGAGGGAUUUCUAAAGUGACAUAUUGUUCACUCUGAGAUGCUUGUAAAGCACACUGAUCGAGUCUAGAAGACUGGAUGUAUUCUUUUGGAAAGAUUGAGUAUUCCAUUUUACAAGCUAAACGGUUUUAAUGAACCGUCCCUCAAGCAUGUCUUCAUUGCCUCCCUUCCAACAGAAUUUCAACCUGAUCUUCAAAGACAACUUACUGCCACAAAUCUCAGCAUAACCGAAAUUUCUCUUGGAAAGAUUUUUCAAAUAGCAAUGCUAUGCCUUGACAAAAUCUGUGAACAAAAAGAAUUCUUCAAAGAUCUCAUGGCAGUCAAAAAACUUUUUUCUGAAGCUUGCAAAAAACCCUAUCUCCAAAUCGAGUGCAAAGAUGAGAAGAAAUGUUUUUGUCCUACCAAGAAGAAAAAGCAUUUCCAGAAACACUUCCACAAAAACUCAUCCUCCAAAAAGCCUUUCCGAUAUUUCAAGAAAAAAGAUGUUUCCCAGUAUAGAAAAAAGAAGCAUAACCGUUGUUUCAUCUACAAGAAACGCAGUCACUUUGCUCGAAGCUGUCCUCAUAAAUCUGCUAAAGCUGUUCGUCUUAUCCAACAUCUCCAACAUUCUUCAUUGUUAUCUGAAAAUAAAGAUGUUGAAUCCAACUUCUCGGAACAAUCAAGCCAAGAUGAUCAGACUGCUUUUAUUCUCGCAGAAUCUUCUAAUUCUGAUGACAUUUCCAUCAUCUCUAUAGUCCAAAAUGUCAACCAGGUUUCAUCUAUUCCCAUACCUUCCCUCAAAAUGUCAAUCCUUCCUUCCAAAUUUCAUAAACAUGUUCCUGUCAUUGGGUUUAUUGAUACUGGUGCAGAUACUAGUAUGAUUGAUCCUUCUGUCCUUCCCCCUGAUUGUUGAGAAAACCAUUCUAAAUUAUUCAGAGCAGUUAAUGGCGAAACAUUUGAAACAACUCUGAUUACCAAAAAAAUCCAUUGGUAUUCAGUUCUUUCCAAAUUGCAUAAUUUGGAAAAAGAUUAUAGCUUCUACCCUUCCAGAUAAAGACUUGCUUAUAGGUUUUGCUACAAACAGAUGUUCUUGCCUUAUACAGAUGAACUCCGUCUGUAUACCAUUUCUAAUGUCCCAACUCCAUACAGUCACAUUUCACAAAAACUUCUUGAGUUUUGUCCAGACAUCAUUCUCAAUUCCAUCAUCCUUCCCCUCUCUGGAAAAAUGAACAGUUCUUCAUUCACCUUCCUUUCAAACUCAAUGAAGACAUAAACCCUACAAAAGCCUCUCAUCCGGGCAUGUCUCCUUCAGACCUCUUACUUGCUAAGCAAGAAUGUUCUCAGUUGCUUCAGCAAGGUCUUAUUGAACCAACUUAUUCAGAUUGGGCUUGUCAAGCCUUUUAUGUUGAAAAAUGAUCUGAAUUAGUUCGUGGUAAAAAGCGAUUAGUCAUUGAUUACCAGCCACUCAAUUCUUUUCUUAAAGAUGAUAAGUUCCCCCUUCCAAAAAUCCAGACCCUAUUCAUCUAUCUUCAAGGGGCACGUAUCUUCUCUAAGUUCGAUUUAAAAGCUAGUUUUUGGCAACUUGGUAUUUCACCAGUUGACCGUCCCAAAACUGCUUUCUGCAUUCCUGAUGCUCACUAUCAAUGGAUUGUUAUGCCCUUUGGUCUUAAAGUUGCUCUGUCCUUAUUUCAAAAGGCCAUGACAAAAAUCUUCAGUCCCAUCCUCCAUCAUGCUCUGGUCUACAUCGAUGAUAUUUUAUUGUUCUCAUCCGAUCAUGAUAGCCAUCAACAACUCCUUUUGGAUUUCUUUCAUAUUGUGUAGGUUCAUGGAAUUAUGCUUUCUGAAAAGAAAAGUAGCAUAGCAAAGGAAUCUAUUGACUUUCUUGGCAUGGUGAUCACAAAUGGCCACUACCAACCUGGCCCGCACAUCGCAACCGAAUUAUUAAAGUUCCCAGACACAAAUCUUACUAAGAAGCAAAUUCAACAAUUCCUCGGGAUUGUUAAUUAUGUUCGAGAUUUUAUUCCUAAAGUUGCAAUCCACACCAGCCAGCUGUCCCUCAUGCUUAAAAAACAGUGUCCUCCCUGGGGACCAGCACAAACUGAAGCUGUCAAGCAGCUGAAGGUGAUAGCUCAAUCACCUCCUCCACUCAGAAUUCCUACAACUGGACAACACAUUCUGCAGACAGAUGUCAGUGAUGACUACUGGAGUGCCAUUCUUCUCGAAAUAAUAGAUGGCAUAGACCACUUCUGUGCUUAUGCAAGUGGACAAUUCAAAGAAUCUGAAAAGAACUACCAUGUGAUCUAUAAAGAAAUCUUGGCGGUCAAGUAUGGAAUCAAAAAGUUUGAAUUUCAUCUCAUCAGGCACAAAUUCCUAAUCAACAUGGACAAUUCCUCUUUUCCUAGAAUCUUUGAUUUCAAGAACAAGUUGCUUCCUGACAAACAGUUACUCAACCUCAAAACUUGGUUCUCCAAAUAUGACUUUACCGUCCAGCACAUUAAAGGUAAACAGAACCUCCUCCCAGACUUCCUUACACGUCCAGCUAUAAAUAAACCCUCACUCCUCUCUUCAACUCACAUCAUCCCAGUCAUAGCCAUGAAUCGACAACUUCCUUUCAAAGCUCUCAACCAAAGAUCUUUCCCCAUGAACAUUCCUUUCUCUUUAGCCUAUCAGAUCCAAGACUUUGCUAAGAAAUUCCUUUAUCGGUAUUUCUUCAAUGUCUACAAUAAGACUCCUGAUCAUUUUCCUACACUCUGUAUGGAAAACUUGUCCCUCACCGGUCUCACCCUGUCUCACCUAUCCAUCUCAGAAGAUGAGUUAUGGUAUAUGUGGUGUCUCACAACCUUGUAUGCUACAAAGCUGGUCUUCCCUAUUAAACCAGUUGUCCGCCACAUCACCACUCCUGAAUUUUCCUCUGACAUUCUAUGGACACUCCUAGAAUGGUAUUCACCCCUCACAUGGUGGCGUAAACAGCUCCAGAAUAUAUUAGCUUUAAAGCAAUAUAUUGAGUGUUCUAUUAUCCAUGUCUCUCUAAACUCCUCUUUCUUAAGUUCUAUGGAGCUCUGAAAUAGAUAAGAAAAAGAAUAAGGAAAAUUUUAAAAAAUGAAUUUGUUCAAAACCAAGUUAGUAUGCUCUACACUUGCCUUUGUAUGAAGGAUCCUGUGUAUCAGAACACUUGAGACGGUCUUUAGCUGUUUUCUUAUCUGGUUUGGUACCGUUCAAAACCAAGUUCCGUUUUAAGCUAAGGAAAGCUGUUUUAGGGUUGUAUAACCAAGCAAAGAAAACUGGUUUUAAGAGUCUCAAGAGCUCGGAGUGGUAUCAGAGUAUAGGAUGCCAGAACAUGAAGCAAACAUGUUCACCACAGUUUUCAUUGUCCACCGGCCAUAUUUUCAACACCCUGAAACCAGAGACUUCUAGACUCAAGACAUGGCUUACAAAUGGAAAACUUAUCGUCAUCCUUACCCUCUCAUCCAUGACACAUCAGUCACAUCUGUUCUUCGAGCUUAUCUCAUGGAACUCAACAAUAUUCAGCCACCUGCUACAAAUAUCCACCACACCUCUGUCGGACUGUCACACAGCUUGGAAAUAGUCCCAAAGACACAGACCUGUACUCCAGGUUCGAGUUCAAGUCCCAAUGGCAUUCUUGUCAUGGAACAACAUCCUGAUUACACUAAUAUUUUAUUCCAAGACGCUCAAGAUCCUUGGGAAGAUUUUCAGUCUCUUCUCCAUACUGAAGAUACCCCAUACACUAUGACCAAUCCAGACUCUCCUUCUUCUUCCACACCAAAAAUGACUGAUGCAGAUGAAGACAAAUAUCUGCAAGCUGAAGCCUCUGUUGAUCAGCGAUAGAUUCGUCAUGCCAAGCGCCAAUAUGAGAAAGAAACUGGUGAUAUGUCCCCAUCUCGCUACCCAUCCACUCCAUGAUUGCCGACACAUGGGAAUAUUUAUCUUUUGCUUUAUUAAAGUUUGCUUUAAUAAUUAGACAUGGGUCCUGUCUUGUCUAAAGUUUGCUUUUGCUUUUAGUUUGGCAUGGUGUGUUUUCCUGCUUUACUACUUUCAUAAUUAUGUUUCUCCUUUUGUAAAAGAGAAGGGUCCCACCUUAUCUCUUUCCUCCUCGAGAUCUCUAUAUAAGGAUCUCUCUUCCCCUUUGUAAACCAGGAGUUAAUCAGAAAUAAAAUUUGAGUUUUCUUACAUCAUGUUUCUCUAAAAUCUCUUCUAUCUUCUAGGAAUCAAGAAAGCUAUUUGGAAUGAAUAAUAAGGAUACGUUCAUCUCUCAUCUCUAUACUGAGUAUGCUCUGCACUUGCCUUAAGCCUAAGGAUCCUGUGCAUUAGAAAUGUCCUGUUUUAUCCUCCAAAAAUGAUUUUUAUAAAUUGAACUUGUUUUCUCACAACGUUCACCCUCUUUAAAGGCCAAGAGUGCCGUGUUUUCGGGUGAUAUCGUGAAAAAACUGUUUUCAAAAAUGAUUUUCGGAUUUGGUAUGAUAAGGAGAAGUGUAUAUCGGCUGGAAACCAGAACUUGCGGGCUACUAGCCCUAAGGACAGACUUUGCUCUGUUAUAGAUCUGGUGUAACAACGCCACGUACAACUACCCUACUGGUAUCAAAGACAUAGAAAAGAGGACUGAACAAUUGCAUGAGAAAGCGCGGCAACACAUAGAAAAGAGGACUGAACAAUAUGUUACUCAAGCCAACAAAGGACAAAAGCAAGUGGUUUUUCAGCCUAGAGAUUGGAUUUGGGAGCAUAAGAGAAAUGAGAGGUUCCCAACACAAAGGCACUCCAAGUUGCUUCCAAGGGGAGAUGGUCCAUUUCAAGUGGUUGCACAUAUCAAUGACAAUGCCUACACAUUGGAUCUUCUUGGUGAGUAUAAUGUGAUUACUACUUUUAAUGUUUAUGAUCUUUCUCCUUUCAAUGCAGAUGAAGAUUCGAGGACGAAUCCUUUUGAGGAGAGGGGGAAUGGUGAGAACCAUCAAUGGAGUACCAUGAAAGCUUCAAGUGAUCCUUUGCACAUUCAUGGAGGCCCAAUUAUAAGAGCUAGAGCCAAAAAGGUUCAAGCUACUUUUAAUGGAUUAAUUGAGAAAAUGUGGACUAAAAAUGAAAUUCAAGAUGUAAGACAUCAUGAAUUGGACUUGGAGAGAAGACAAGGCAUUGUGGGCAUUAUUCAAGCUAUUUAGCAGCCAAAUACACAAUUUGGAUCAAAUGCUCAAUCAAAUUCAGAAAGGGAAUACCAUUGGAAAGAUAAUUAACUUAACUUUCCGAUGCAAUUUCUAGAGCUGGAUUAGGGGUUCUUGUGAGGUACAAUUUUCUCACUUAAAUAUAGUAGAUUUUAUUUUAAGCUAAUAUUUAAUUUUAAGGAAUGAUGACAUAAGUAAUGACAUAAGAAAUGAUGACAUAAGUGAUAAUGUAAGAAGAAGUAUGUAGAGAAAGUUAAGACUUCUUGAAUUUAGUAAGUUCUUUAUUAAGAUUAAUAUCAACCAUUGAUCAAGAGUUGUGGUGGCAAAAUCCUAACCAUCCAUUAGCCUUAAGAAAUUCUAUAAAUACCCCCCACCACCUCUCAUUUUCAAUGCAACCUUGAAAUUUCAUUCCCUUCUAUAACAAUAGUAGAGGAAUCCUUAACUUAGAAAGGUCUAGAGAAGUCAAGAUCAAGAGGUAAGUAACACUUCGACUGCAAUGUAAGGACAAAAUUCUUUUCAUACUUAAGUUCAGUUUUAACAACUCCUUUAUAUUAUGAUGACUAUUAUAGUGUGAUUAGUUAUAUCUUUAUAUGGUCGGCCCUGCUGCCUAAUAUGUGAUGCUAUGGUCGGCUCUACCGCCUAAUAUGUGAUACUAUGGUCGGCUCUGCUGCCCAAUAUGUGAUGUUAUGGUCGGCUCUGCCGCCUAAUAUGUGGUACUUAUACUUAAUUAUGGUAUGGUCGGCUCUGCCGCCUAUACUAAAGACUCUUGUUUUUUAAAUAAUGUUGUGUGUUGAUUUUGUUAUGCAUCGAGGAAUUUCAAAUGUUAUAAGUUGCAUUGGAUGCAUGCAUAUCAUGGACUACAUUAUGAAGAAGACGUUUCAGAAAAUGAAUUUAUGAAAAAUAGGUGGUUGUACUACCAAGUGGCAACUUAGCCCUCAAAGCUAAGUUGAAAGAAAUAUUUUGGGGAUGGCGAUACGUAACGCCCAAAAGAUCAACUAUUGUUUAAAGAGUAAAAGUACCAGCCUUGUAGUGCAACAUACCUAGGGUUAUAAAGUUGUUUUGUAUUUUCUAAGUUUAUUUUAAGAGCUUAAUAUGGUCAUCCAUAUGCAUCAUAAUUUAUACAUGCAUCAAAGUGUUAUCUUACUGGGCAUUAGCUCACUAAGUCCUUACAUUGCAGGUAACGAUGAGUAGGGAAAGCUGGCGCCAAGUCCUAACCAAGACGAAGUGCAUAUGGGCAUAAUGGACCUUGGGAUUUUAUAAUGGGCUCAGCUUUGUUUCAAUAAAAUAAACAUCUUAGUUUUGUGUAAAAUAAAGUUUUUAUACUAAAGAGUUUCUAUAUGACUCUUACUUUUUGUAAGAAAGUUUUGUUUGUUGUAAACUUUUAGAAUUCGUAUUUAUAUUAAAAGUAACUAUGUUUUUAAGCAUUUUUAAGUCAAUAAUAUAGUGGAGUGUUACAGUUCUCUAGAAGGUGUUAUGACCAAUUUAUUACAGCUUGUUUAGGCUGGGGAAUUCCAAUCACUCCUUUGUUUAUUCAACUUCAUUUAUUUAUUUUAUUUCAUGUUUGUCAAUGUAUUAGGUAAGUCUACCAUAAAUGAUGGUGGGCUAGCAUUAAGUUUGUCAAUGACUAGCAUUAAUUAUGGUAGGCUAGCAUUAAGUUUGUCAAUAACUAGCAUUAAUAAUGGUGGGUUGGCGAAGACUUUUUGAAGCAUCCUUUGACAAACCUAUACUUGGAGGGUUUUCAAGUUUAUUUUUAGAAUCUUAGGUUUUUAUUAGCCUAUUUAAACUUAGUAACCUUGCUAUGUAAAAUAAUUAGAGAUAAAUGUUAUUUUGAAUUUGAAAGACCAUUCUUUCUUUGGUUCUUUUGAGAACUAGUGAACUUAUCAAGAAUUUGCAUUCUUGUGGCGUUCCAAAAUAGACUUAUCUCUCACCUUCUUAUCUAAAUCUUGAUUGUGGCAUCAAUAUCCUUCUCUAUACCUCUGGUUCAUGUUUUCUUAAACAUUGGGUCAAGGUUUUAUUUCGCUUAAAUCUAUUCAGAACUUUCUUGGGAAGUUGAAACUUCAAAUUAAGUGUCGAUUUCAAGAUUUCAUUGUGGGGUUCGCAUCAAUAGGCAAGUUGAUAAACAUAAAACCACAAUCGUCAAACUCUUUUCUUUUUAUUUCUUGGGCCUUUGCAUCAAUGGGCCUCGCUUAAUGCCGAAUAUACCCCAAGCAGAUAGUUCAAAGGAACUGGAUUGCUAGUAAUGUUGUUCCAUGCUUCAUCAUCUUUAAAUCAAUUCUAUUGUAGGAAAAUUCUUUUUUAUCAGGUAUUUCUCGUAUUCUGUGUCUAUUCUCACAACUCUCUGGUAUGCUUAGGCAUCUAGUUCUGUAUCAUACUUUUCCAAUCAUGAUUAGCUCUUAAUUGAAUCAAGCAAGGAAGUCCCGGAUCUGCUCAUUUAGCCUUUGUUUUAAAGAGAACGCGGUUGAUACAAAUUUCUACUAUCUUUAGUUCUGGUAGUAUUGUGCUAUGAAUUAUGUACAAAGUUCUUUAAGGCUAUGGAUAGAAUUUUGCUGCGCAAAACUCCUUGUGGCUAGAAGCCUCAUUCGAAUUAACAUGUUGUUCUAGUUUCUAAGUUUAAAGUUGAGUAUCUGUUGAAGUAAUUUUUUUGGUUUAAUAUAGCCAGGUCAGAUUGGUUGUCGGUUUUAUCUUAAUCAAGCAUUAAAUCAUCCGUAUAGUCCUCCGUAUUAGUUUGUAGAAAUUUGGUUUUCCUUGGUUCUGCCAUUUUCUUGUCUAUUGAAGAUUAAUAUUUAUCAAUUCCUAAUGACAUUAAAGGCAUAAUUUCAAGCGCAAUUGCCAUAUUUCAUGCUAUAAAUGAUAGAUGAGUAUAUAUCUUAAAUCCAGAAACCGUUUAAUACAAUUUGUUCGUUAGUUUAACUUCCUUCACCAUUUUAAAAACAUGAAAAUUAUUAUCUAUACAUUAAGUCCUCUGAAUUUGAAAGUAAUUUGUGUGAUGUACAAACUACAAUCGAUUAUCACAAUUUUACUAUGUAAUCAUGUUCAAACCAACAAACUUAAUCAGUAUCCCAAGUAUUUAUCGUUUUUUACCAAUUAUCUUAAGAUUUGAUGGACUUAACAAAUAAAAUUCGUUUGUUGUUAGUUCGAUUUUUAUUGUUUAAUUGUCCGAUCCCGGCAGAGAGGGCCAAUUGAAGGCUAAAAUAACCUUCAAUGAUCCGGAUUCUUGUAUAUAAAGAAGAAUCAAAAUCAAAUCUGUUCAAUUAGCAAACUUCAAUAUCAAUCCUUAGUUCUUAAGGAUUUUUACAAAUUAACUCAAGCGUGUACCUAUAAAAGGCACUUUGAUACUUUUGUUAGCAUUUGUGACUUGAGAUUUUUAGAUCUGGACUCUAAAUUUCUCUUGACUUGAGCAAGGAUUCGCCAAAACAUCGUUUCUCGAUUCUUUUGGCUUCCAUUUAUGGUCUAAGUAACACGAAAUUGGCUGGAGAUCUUCUUUUGGAUCUAAGUCCCACCUGAUGAGAUUAAAGAUAAAACUAUCACAAGCACAUGGGAUGAGGCAUAUUCAUAUCCUAUUCAAGUUCCCGUCGAACCCGUUACAAGAGCUCGAGCAAAUAAAUUCAAAGAAGCGCUUAAUUGAUUGAUUCAAACAACUUGGGCUCAAUCAAAUUCGUGGAGGCCCGUUGAAGGAAUCGCACAUGAAGUUUCCAAAUAGUCACUUUCAUGAAAUAGGGAGUUGGCUUGCACAUUAUGGCGGGAAAAUAUAUUAUUUUCCUUUUUCAGAUACUUUCCCGUUUCUUGAGGAGGCUAUUAGGGAAACAAAUUAGUUAUUUCUAUUUUAAUCGCCUAGUUUCCAUUUAAUUGAUGUAAGGCAUUUAAGCCAAUUAGGAUCUUGAUUUGAUUUAGAUUCUUUCUUAUUUACUUAGAUUAGGAUUCUGAUUUGGUUUAAAUUCUUACCUAUUUACUUAUAUUAGGAUUCUGAUUUGAUUUAGAUUCUUUCCUAUUAGGGAAGAUUUAGAUUCAUAUUUGAUUUUUGGGUUAGGAUUUAUUUCCAAAAAUUCUUGUAACCAACCCUAUAUAAAGUACUCGUAUUCAAUAAACAUGGAAGAAGUUUUUCUGAUGCAAUUGGUGAGAGAGUUAAUUCUCUUUGGUUCUUUACGAACUCUUUGAACUUAUUGGAUUUCCGUGGGGUUCAAACUCUUGACUUAUCAAUCAGAUCAUCCAUAGCUGAUUGUGGCGUCUUCACAUACCAAGGUUUGUGCUUUCAAUAAGCAUUGGGUCGAGGUUCCAUUCCAUUCCUAGUUUAGAUUCGAUCUUGGGAACUAAAUUGAUUAGGGUCGCGUCAGUUCUUGACGGGGUUCGUAUCACCACCAUCCAUUUUAUUUGUUUAAUUUUAUAUCAUCAGAUUCGAUAACUGUUUUGUCUGUAUCUAAAUUCUCUAUACGUGAUUUGGUUAGUAAUCAAGUGCUUUUUGUUGAUAUUUUGGGUUUAAUCAUUGACCAUCUCUAAUUUUUUUGUACAAGUUACCUAUCGCUUUUGAUAUUUAUUUAUAAUGUUUAUUGGACCCAUGGUGUAGUGUAAGUGUAUAUACUUUUUGGCACUUAUAAUGGCAAAGAUAAAAGUAAACGAUAAUUACUCUUAGGGUGUCUUUAGUAUUAUUUUUUACCAACUAUUUUUUGUUUUGCAAGAAAAAUAUACUAUUAAACUAAUAAUGGUAAAACAAAAUUUUUCUUUCUCCAACUUUUGUGAAGAAAAAUGAAAUGAAAUUUGGGUCCAUUUGGUAUUGUUUUUCAAUAAGUGUUUUUAACACUUUUUUAAGAGAAAGAAAAUAGUGUUUUUGAUUUGAUGUUUUUGAAAGGAAAAACUUAUUUGAUAUUUUAUUUUAAAAUAGUAUAUAAAAAUAAAAACAGUAAAAAUAUAUUUAGUUGUUUAUCCUAAAGCAAGUGAAAAAUAAAACUAUGCUUUAAUAAACAACUCCUGAAAUAUAUGCUUUAAUAAAACUAUCCUAAAAUAUAUGCUUUAAUAAAAUGUGUUUUUCUAUUCUUUAUUAAGCAACAGAUAUACUUAUUAUUUCUUAAAUUUUAACAUUAUAAAUUUAUUAGUUCAAUAAAAUGCAAAUGAACAACUCCUGAAAUUAUUUAUUUCUCUUUUACAACUUAUAAGUUGUUCUUUAGACAAAAAUAGUAAAAAAUAAAAAUCUGCAUUUGUAUAUGAAAUAUCUGCAUUUUAUAUUCUUUUAUAAAAGAAUAUUAUAAAACAUUAUUUCUCCACCUCAUGUUUGCAUGUAAGAUUGGAUUUGACUGAUUAUUAGAAUUAGAUUGGACUAGAUUAAAAUAGAUUAGAUUGGAUUAGCCUGGUAUAAUAUGACACAGAAAUAUGUUAAAUUUAAUUUAGCAUAGCUAAAUAACUAUUUAAAUAGUAUAAAUUUUUGAAAUUAUAUUAUAAUUGUUUUAAUAUUUUAAUUUCUUGUAAAUAAAAUAUUGAAUUAAAAUUUGAUAUUCUUUAUUUAAAUAAAUUACAAAAUUAAUUUUAUAUUUGUUUAUGGAUCAAUAAUCUUAUUGCUUUUGGAUUAAAUUUUGGACUAAUCAACUAGUUCUGAUGGUCAAACAAGCCUAGAAUUGAAUUAAUUUGUUUUCUCCCAAAAAUUUGUCCAAUCCUACCUCUUAUCCUAGCAUCGAAAGAUGGUCCUAGUGUUCUCUUUUACGAGAAUGAAAUUUUUUUUUUUACAAAUUCUUGGUUUAUUGUAAAAAAAAAAAGCCCCCUAAACAUAUUUUUUUUGUGUUUUGUUCUUACAAAACGGAAAACAGCUUCUCAAAGACAAUGCCAAAUACACCUUUCGUCUCCCUUGCCCUCCAAAGCUCACCAGAGUUCGAUCAUCCUUUAUAAAUUUUUGCAAAUUUCUUAUAUAAAAAAAUAAAAUAGAGAAUUUUUUUCUCAAAUUUUUGGUUGAAGAGCAAAUAAUAAUAAGAUAUGAAGUUGCUUUAAAUGUGAUUUGAUAGUGAAAUACUUAGGGCCUGUUUGGUAUUGUUUCUGAAUUUCUAUUUUCUAAAAAUGAAAAUGAGAAUGAAAAUGAUAUUUUACAGUUGCUAUAUUUCGAAUUUAAGUAUGUGUUUGUUAUCAUUUUCUGCAUCCUGUAUUUUAAAAUUACAAAUAGUAAUAUGCGUUUGGUAGACACAAUUGAAAAUAAUAAAAAUAGUAAAUAUGUGUUUGGUAGUACCAUUUUCAAAAACAAUUUUUACUAAACAUUUAAGCCAUACUUAUAGUUAGAAAAUAAUUGUUUAAUUAAUACAUACAUAAACAUACCAUAAAUAAUUUAAACAAACUAAUUAUAAAAAAUUACAUGAUGAUAAAGUUUUAGUAGUAGCAUUAAUAAAAAAAACAGUUUUACAUUGUCAUUGUUUCUACACUAUAAUUAAGAUAUAUAUUACAACACAUAUGAUUUAAAGAAAAUAAUUAUAAAAAAUUACAUGAAAGACAUCAUGCAUUACACAUGUAAUCAUGCCACAUAGAAGUUGCAAUUCUAUCUCUUGUAGCAUUCAUCUCUGCAAUACUUGCUGGAGAUAAAUCAAUAUUAGUAAAUGGGCUACUAGAAUCUCCUUCUUCAUUGAUAACCAUAUCUUGCACAUCAAAGUCCUCAAAUCAAUAUUAAAAUUUAAAUACUACUAAAAAAAUUAAAAAAAAUAACAUAUAUCAAAUAUUAAUCAAAUUAAAGAAACUGCUCCUACACAUACAUAGCUUAAACUUUUGGAAUUAAUCAAAUUCAACAAAGAAUGAAAGACAUUUUAGCAAUAUGUCAUAGAUUAAAAAUUGAACAUAUCAAAAUCAAAUAUAUUCUACUACAAAUUGACCAAUUCAAAUUAAGACCAAGCUCUUGCAAUUUCAAAGUUUUACAUCUUCUAAAAUCACGAGUUCAAGUUUUAAUUAUUUACAACAGCAUAAAGAAAUUGAGUAACCUUGAUUGAUUGUUUGGCAAAGAUACUGAGAUGUAUGAGUAGAUAGAUAUCUAGACCUUCUAUGAAUACAAAACCAAUACGUAUAAAAUGGGGAGGACUUAGAAAAAUUGGAUAGUUAUUAUCAAACAUUAUUCAGCUUAUUUUUAUCCGUUUAUCUUUUUCGACUUAGUCAAUGCAAAUCCCACACACUUUAUUCAUCCAUGGCGCACGUGGUUUAGAUCCUUUGUUAGUUCUUCCUAUUGAUAGCUCAAAACAAGCUUUACAAAUCAUAUAAUUUAAUAUUAUAUGGUUACAAGCCCUAUAUGCUUUUUUAUUUAUGUAUUAUUAUUAAAUGCAUGUAAUAUAUAUAUAUAUAUAUAUAUAUUCUUAAUUAAGGCUUCAAUAUUGAAUACAGAUAUCGAUUGUACAAAUAUUCAAACUACUGCAUUUCUUAAUAAUACAUUAUUGUCUCUGUAAUUACAUACAUAACUCUGGGGGUCACUGGAUAAUAAGCAAAGACAAAAAUAUGGACAAUAUUAUUGUAGCUAGCCAGUGUUGACUAGCCUCGAAUAUGAGCAUAUGAGCAUAUAUACCAUCAUCAAUGUGUAAUGCAAAUACCAUAUCUCACCCAAAAUCUCACACCAUACUUUCAAUCAAGAUUUGCUCAAAUAAAAAAAUAAAAAGAUCUAACAACUCACACAAUAGUAUAGACAAAGCCGAGAGAGUAGCAGCGGUCAAGACAAUCGAGACGGAGCAACAGUAGGGCCGAGAUGAAGCGGCGGCGGCGGUAGAGAUAAGAGUACAGCAGUCGAUUUGGGCACACUGAGAGAGAGUAAGCACCGUGAAUAGAUCGGGAGAGAUAAGGAGAGAGAGUCAAAGAGAUAAGGAUGAAGAGAGAGUUGUUGGAGUUUGCUUUUUUCAAUUUAUUUUUUGAGUUUAGUUUUGUAAUAUGUGGAGAACAUGGUAAACAUGUUUUCACUUUGAUAAUUAUGAAAGUGAAUCUUAAAUUAUUUAUUACAAAUUCAGCCACCGAACACGUAUUAACUUAGAUCUAUAAAAGGAAAAUGAAAACAAAGCCUAUAAAAUGUUACCGAACAUGCCCUUAUUUUUUUAAGAUCAUUUGUAUUUUAGUUUAAUUAAUUAUAUGAAUGCCAGCUAACUGAGUUGAUAAAACCUCUUAUCUUAAAAUAAGAGAUUUUAUAUUUGAAUCUCACUCACAUAAAUAGGAAGAAAUUGAGUUUUGAUUAGAUUAAAUUAAAAAAUGUAUAUUUUUUACUUUCCAGCAAAAACAUUAUUAUUUUUUAAUUUUUUCAGACAAAUGAGUAAAUGCAUUUCCACAUUAUUCAUUUUUAUAUACCAGUUGAAAAGUAAACCAGCAACGCACCUUUUUUUUUUAACGCACACAUUGACCAAUUCAUCUCUUUUGCUUGGGGUUGGACAAUAAAGCACAACACAAACUCACUCCCAACUUCGUGAGUGUCAGAAGGCAACAAAUUUUGUUGUGUUUACAGAGCAAAAUUUUUUACUUUAAUUUGGGGCCAUGGAGAGCAUCGUAAAUAAGCUGAGGAAUUUAAACGUGUACCCCAAAAUUAACAAGGAUUUCUACAGUCGUACGCUCUUGCUUGCUCAUUCUUGUCUUUCGACUUAAGCCUUGAAGAGAAUCCUUUUUCAAGAAGUUUUUUGCAAUGAUAAAAUUCUUCUAUAGCAUGUAGUUCGUGCAUUAAUUCAAUUAAGGUCAUAUCUUUAUUGUUUAAGAUAUAGCUGACCUUAAACUCUUUGAAUGUAUCAGGUAAAGAUUCAAUCACCAUGUUAAUCUUUGAUUUAUCAUUGAUUUGAACACCAUGAAUCUCUACCUCAUUCAAAUAGUCCAUCAUUUUGAGGACAUAAUCACAAACUUUUGUGCCCUCUUCCAUCUUAGUAUCCAUAAUACGUUUUAAUGCUGCUUCUCUGGCAAAACGAGUAUUUUGCCCGAACAUCUGAUGAAGACUAGCCAUUAUUUCAGUAGCUGUUUCCAUGCUCCGAUGUUUCUUAUGCAGUUCCACAGAAAUCGAAGCCAAUAUAUAGCGCUUAGCCAUUUUGUUAGCUUCGCACCAUUUCUCAUAAAGCUCCCUCUGAUUUCUAUAAUCGUAUAACGACGGUUCAGGAGGGCAAGGCUGGGUCAACACAUAUUUGCUUCCCUUAGCAGUGAGAAUAUUAAAUAGAUUACGUUUCCAAUCUAAAUAAUUUUCGCCAGUGAGUUCAUUUUUAACAAGGAUAAUUAAUAAUGGGUUGAUGGAAGACAUUUUCUGAAAAAAAUAAAAUACACAUGCAUAAAUACUUUGAAACAAUAUUCACAAUAAAUGACAAAAAUGCAAAAAACCAUAAAUGCAUUUUAAUUUAUUGUAACGAUAAUCUAGUACCGCUUUGACAAGCUAUCCGGUGUGGAAGUCAUGUCUAUACUUACUAGACCCAAUUACCCAUUGGAUUAUUUACUUUCAUGUAGAGACAUGAUAAAUAAUUAUCGUUAUCCCUUUAGGCCUAAAUUUGUUAAUAGAGCUUCGUUGGGAAGGUUAAUAACAAACUUUAGUUGAGUGUAUAACCAUUGUUUCAAUCUACGUAUUUUUCAUAUCAAUAGUCACCGUUGGGGUGAACAAUCGAUUAAAAAAUAUUUCAAUUUUAUCUUUGAAGAAGUUCAUCAAAUAAAAUAUCUAAUAUAUAUACCCUCCGAAGGGAGCAUCACCGUAUCAUGAAGUCAAGGUAUAUAUAUAAUUUUAUUAUUGAACUAACAAUGGAACCCGUGGGAAAAUUAUCUUGAAUUUUCCCUCUCCCACUCAAUAUUUUAAAAUUGGUUUUUCCUUUUUAAAACAUACAUAUUGUUAAUUGCAUGCCUCCUAUAAUAUCAUCUAGAUGAUAUCAAAUAUUAUUAAACAUGUGAAAAUUUCAAACAACAUAAUGAGAUUCAUUAUUAAUGAAUGACAUGUAACAUUAUGCAUAGAGUGGCACUACCUAUUCUAUAUGACAUGUUAUCAUCCAAAACAUAACAUAUAGAAAAACAAUUAAAUAAUCUUAAUUCAUGGCUUUCCUAAUAAUGAAAAAUAAAUUAACCCUAAGCCUAAUCUUCAUUGGGCUUCUUGUCAAUAUCCAUCUUCCAUAAUCUUGUUUUUGUUAAUGGACUAGGGGAAAUUGGGCUUUUAAUUCAAUUAAGGUCAUAUCUUUAUUUUUUAAGAUAUAGCUGACCUUAAACUCUUUGAAUGUAUUAGGUAAAGAUUCAAUCACCAUGUUAAUCUUUGAUUUAUCAUUGAUUUGAACACCAUGAAUCUCUACCUCAUUCAAAUAGUCCAUCAUUUUGAGGACAUGAUCACGAACUUUUGUGCCCUCUUCCAUCUUAGUAUCCAUAAUACGUUUUAAUGCUACUUCUUUGGCAAAAUGGGUAUUUUGCCCAAACAUCUGAUGAAGACUAGCCAUUAUUUCAGUGGCUGUUUCCAUGCUCCGAUGUUUCUUAUGCAGUUCCACAGAAAUCGAAGCCAAUAUAUAGCGCUUAGCUAUUUUGUUAGCUUCGCACCAUUUCUCAUAAGGCUCCCUUUGAUUUCUAUAAUCGUAUAAGGAUGGUUCAGGAGGGCAAGGCUGGGUCAACACAUAUUUGUAGCCCUUAGCAGUGAGAAUAUUAAAUAGAUUGUGUUUCCAAUCUAAAUAAUUUUCGCCAGUGAGUUCAUUUUUAACAAGGAUAAUUAAUAAUGGGUUGAUGGAAGACAUUUUCUGGAAAAACAAAAUAGACAUGCAUUACUUUGAAACAAUAUUCACAAUAAAUGAAAAAAAUGUAAAAAACCAUAAAUGUAUUUUAAUUUAUUGUAACGAUAAUCUAGUACCGCUUUGACAACCUAUCCGUUGGGGAAGUCAUGUCUACACAUACUAGACCCAAUUAUCCAUUGGAUUAUUUACUUUCAUGAAGAGACAUAAUAAAUAAUUAUCGUUAUCCAUUUUGGUCUAAAUUUGUUAACAGAGCUUCGUUGGGAAGGUUAAUAACAAAUUUUAGUUGAGUGUAUAACCAUUGUUUCAAUCUACAUAUUUUUUAUAUCAACAGUCACUGUCGGGGUGAACAAUUGAUUGAAAAAUAUUUUAAUUUUAUCUUUGAAGAAGUUCAUCAAAUAAAAUAUAUAAUACAUAUACCCUCCGUAGGGAGUAUCACCGUAUCGUGAAGUCAAGGUAUAUAUAUAAUUUUAUUAUUGAACUAACAACGGAGCCCAUAGGAAAAAUUAUCUUGAAUUUUCCCUCUCCCACUCAAUAUUUUAAAAUUGGUUUUUUCCUUUUUUAAAACAUACAUAUUGUUAAUUGCAUGCUUCCUAUAAUAUUAUCUAGAUGAUAUCCAAUAUUAUUUAAGCAUUUGCAAAUAACAAACAAUAUAAUAAGAUUCAUAAUUAAUGAAUGACAUGUAACAUUAUGCAUAGAAUAACACUACCUAUUAUAUAUGACAUGCUAUCAUGACAUAUUAUCAUUCAAAACAUAACAUAUAGAAAAACAAUUAAAUAAUCUUAAUUCAUGACUUUCCUAAAAUGAAAAAUACAUUAACCCUAAGCCUAAUCUUCAUUGGGCUUUUUGUCAAUGUCCAUCUUCCAUAAGCUUCUUUUUGUUAAUGGACUAGGGAAAAUUGAGCUUUUAAAUUUAUAAUCGGUCCAAUUUUAAUUUUGAAAAAAAUAAUAAUUUAAUUUUUUUUAUUAACAUAAAACUUUUGGAUCAAAUAAUUUCCAUUGGGCCUAAAGCUAGGAUUCAUUAAGCCCAAAACUGUUUUUUGACUUAAAUGCAAAACAUUUAAACCUUUUCUACCCGAAGAAAAAUGGUGGAACCAUAGGGACCUCGAUGAUAAAAACCAUUAAAACCCUAAAUCCAUCUUUUUCUCUCCCCUUCUUCUCCAGCCGCCAUUAACACAAAGCCAGCCGCUGGUCACAAUUUCCAGCCAUCUCCGACGUCGAGUUUGCUGCCGUCGUCACGCUGGAAACACACCAAACGACGCCCUCCGCCAGCAGCCUGCGCACACGCGUCACAAGUCCUCGCGCUGCACCAGAAACAUUUUUUCUGAUUAAUAAAAAUUAAUGAGGUAUUUUAUUCAAAUAUCUUAAUUGCAUUAAUAUUUUUAUUAAAAUCCAUUUAAUCAUAUUAUAUGUAUUUAUGUUAUCACCAUGAGGGUUCACAGAAGACAUAAAUACAAGUUAUCUUAUGAUUAAAUAAAUUUAGUUCGCAGUUGAUAAAUAAAGUUGGGCACUUUAUUUAGGUAUAAACUGUAAUAAAUUCAUUGAAUGAUUUGUCUUAAUCAUGUAUGAAUUUAUUGAUGUAGUACGACUACAUUGAACAGGAUCACAUAUGAGAUUUAAUUAACUUUGUAAUAACUGUCAGACUUAUUAAAUCUCAAAGCAUUGAUUUUACUGUAAUCUUAAUCUUAAGUUAAUUACCAAUGGGCAUGACACAUACUUGUAGUCUAGAUUACCCGGUAUCUUGGUGGGAGCAUUUAUGAGUAUUGAAGUUAUAGAUUAACAAUAUAGAAUUUGUACAACACAUCUCUUAAUGGGUUUUCGGCACUUGAUCAUAGAAUUCUCUGGCCAGAGUGUGUCAACAUAUUUAGUAUGUUGAAAAUGAUCAUUAGAGAAAACCGGUAAGGAUCAAGGAAUAAGAUGUUAUUAAAUUGAUUGGAUAGUUGAGAUAUCAAUUUAAUUAAUGAUGUGGUACAAAGGAUUGUGCAGUAAAGAAAUCAAUGUGGCUUGGGACGAAUUAUUAUUCUUAUUCGAGCAUACAGAAGUCAGUUCCAAUCUUUUAGUGGAGUAGAUUUGGAAUUAAAUAAUUGGGCUAGUUUAAUUACAGGCCUAAUUAUUGUAGCCACUAUUGUAUGUUCCCAAAUGAUCCUCGGGUUAGCUCAUUUAAUUGACUGCACCACUACUGGAUUAAUAAGCAAGAUAACUAGUUAUUUUGGUCAAAAGUCUGAAUAUAUCAUUUAGUGGGAGGUUCCAUUUAAUUAACUUGUGUGUAAGGGGCCUUAUGUUAUUUUACAAGGUGGGUCUCCUAUAGAAAAAGCAAGUAACGUGAGUUUUUAUUUUGAUUUUUUGGAGCCUAGGGUUUUCACUAAAGGGAGAUAUAAAAGGCUUAUUUUCUCUAAAGAAAGGGAGCAGCCACUUUAUACAGAUCAGAGAAAAAAAAUUUCUCUCUAUUGUUGAGAAAAAAAUUUUCUCGUGCUAGUUACUUUGGUAGUGAUAAAGGCGCCUACUCGUCAAGUGCAGAUAAAACCUGAGUCAUAACCUGGAAGAUCAUUGGUGCCAGUUCGUGUUCUAACAAGCGUGGUGGUGACAGAUCGUGAUCUAAUAGGAGUGGUGGUGACGGAUCGUGAUCUGGAGCCUAAAUCAUUUCAGCGGAAAAAACUAAAUCAUAUUUUCAAGAUACGAUUUCUAAAUUACAAAUUCUUAUAUAUUAUAUGAAAGCGAUCUUAAGAAAUGGUUUUAUAAAAAUUUAAAAACCUGAUUUUUCCCAACAGAUACUUCUAGAGGCGAAACCCUGCAUAUUAAUGUAAUCAUGAAGUAAUUUUGUUAUUUGUUCAAAUGUUAAAAUACGACUCCGUUUAUUAUCGUUGUUCGUAACUGUAGCUUUUAAAAAGUGGCUUUACAAAGUCAAGUUUCCCAAAUGCUAUCAACUUUUAUUUCACACCAGAAUAGCACACUAUCAAAUAGAGCAUAUCCUUUUGAUUUGAUGGUUUUAAUUGUUUUUAAACCGCUUUUCUACAUGUUAUUCUCAUCUUCAAAGAUUUACUCUCUCAAUUUUUAUCUUUUACUUAAGAUACUUUCUUUUCCCAUAUAAGCAAUAACUAAUGGCGAUAUAUUGAUUAGCCUCAUCUUUGUUGGAUAAUGCAGUUUGAUAUCACUUUUCCUGCCAUUCCAUGUUCAUUACUCAGGGUUGAUGCUAUGGAUAUCAGCGGAGAGCAACAUCUUGAUAUAGUAUCCACAACAAACAAUAAUUAAUUUAUUGACUAAGUUAUAUUCAAUUUUGUUCCCCUUGUACUGUAAGGAAUAAUGAAUUGUCUAUACUAUAGAUUUUAUUCAAUCAUAUUGCUUUUGAGAAGUUUUCAGUGAAUUUCAUUUUUCUUUUGUUAUGUACGUGGCUUUGUUUUACCAGAGUGAUGAGAUCCUUGGCAAGCCGAGAUAUUUAAAUCUCCUUUGGACCAGUAGUCCGCACACCUUAGUUUCCAACCGAUAUACACUUAUCCAGUUAAUACCAAAUCCGAAAUUCAUUCUUGAAAACAAUUUUUUCACGAUACCACCCGAAAAUCGUCAAAGAGGGUGAACGUUGUGAGAAAACACUUUCAUUUUAGAAAAAUCGGUUUUGGAGGAUAAACAAGACCUUUCUGAUGCACAGGAUCCUCAAGCUUAAGGCAAGUGCAGAGCAUACUCAGUUUGGAAAUUUUUGAGGUGAGCGUAUCAUUUUUAAUUCGAAUAAUGUCUUCGAUUCCUAGAAGAGAGAAAGAGGUUUAGGGAAACAUAAUGUAUAGAACUGAAGUUUUUAUUUCAGAUUGGCUCCCCUUACAACUGAGACCAAAGGUGCCUUUUAUAGAGUAUCAUUGAGAACAGGACCUCUCAAAUGAUCAAAUCACAUGGCACACCUUUUUUGAAAGCAAAGCACGCCGAUUAGGACUUUUACAAAAGAUAAAGCAUACCUAUAAUGACUUUAACAAAAGUAAAGCACACUGACAAGGACUUUAACAAAAGACAAAUGGGAGUCACAUGGGUUAUUGCAUCAAAAGUUGUGUAAGAGCGACAAAGUGUCAUUAUAGAGUGGAUGGAUAGCGCGAUGGUGACACGUCUCCUGUGGCUUUUUCAUAUUGUCGCUUGUGCCGACGCCUUUGUCGCUGGUCGAGAUACGCCUCAGCUUGCUGGUAUUUGUCUUCAUCAGCUUCAGUCAUGGGCUGAGAUGUAGAUGCAGCAGGAGAGGCUGGAGUGGUGACAGUAUAAUGGGGAUUUUCAUAAGGGUGUGUGAUGGUCUAAUAGAGGUGUGGUGAAUGUUUAUGGCUGGUGGAGGAACAUUGUUAAGUUCCAUGAGAUAGGCUUUGAGAACAGAGGAAACCGAUGUAUCAUGGAUGAGGGUAUAAGGAUGAGGGUAAGUUCUCCAUUCAUAUGCCAUGUCCUGUGUCCAGUAGUCCCGUGUUUCUGGAUGCUGGAAAUAAGGCAUGUGGAUAAUGAAGACUGUAGUCCACAUGUUAGUUUCUUGUUCUGGCAUAUUGUCUAAUCCAUGAAAGGUACACAAAUGUUGGAGUUGCUUGCGCCACCAAGUGAGUGGGGAAUACCAUUCAAAGAGAGUCCAUAGUAGAUUUGGUGAGAACUCCGGAGUGGUCAGGUGAGUCAGGACAGGUCUGAUGGGAAAAACUAACUUUGUAGCAUACAAGGUGGUGAGACACCACCUGCUGUACCGUACAUCCGCCUUGGCCGUACAGCAGAGAGUCUCUACUUACCGCUCUGAUGUAAGGAGAAUCCGGGUGCUUCAGUAAGCCAUGCAUUUGUUUGACAGUAAGUUUCAUAGUGAAAAACUUGUAAAGAAGACAGAAUGCAGUUGAUGGACCACGACAAUUUCCAGUCAUCCAAGGUUCCACAUGAUCCACCUGAUUGUAAAUUUCAUCUAUCACCUCAUGGUAGGUCUUUAAGCGGUAAAGUUCUUUGAAGUAAUCAGACGAUAGUAUGUUCAUACAAAGGACCUUCUCCAACAAAGAAUCAAUUGGUUUACCGCAAGUCUGAAUUUCCGUCAUGGGUCACCAAAUUAAGUAUAUAAUGUAUUUAGUAUCAACGCAAUCUUAUUCCUAUAAGCAAUAUGAAACUUGUGAGUUAUACAAUUUAAGAAACAGAGAGAACAGUAGCAAAGCCACUACCGAAUUAUUUCUCAAUACAGGAAUACCAAAAUCAACGAAAAUAGCAAAUAAGAAAUUCAAAUUAGGUCAAGAAAAUAAUAAUAAUAAUAAUAAUAAUUUAUAGCUUUUUUUUCAACCAAACAGAAGCAGCUAAGGAAGUAAACUUUGAAUAUAUAUUGGGAUACAAAGAGAAAAUUAAAGCUUAACGAAGGAAUAUUGAAAGGGAAACACUAAAACUGCUGUACGGCCAAGGCGGAUGUACGGUACAGCAGAAAUUACACAGAUGCACUUCUAAGGCUAAACCAAGAUAAACAUCAAGCCAAAUCUAGUCGUAUACAUCAUUCUCUACCUUAUACAAUCAAGGCUUUUGACCUUGGCUUCUGAUACAAAAAUGUCAAUAUCAGAGAAACAGAACAAUAAUCAUUCACAAUUCAGUCCAUAAAUAAUGUUUCUCAAGAGUUCACGACUGAAAAAUACAUGCACUCUUCACAUAUCUCAUAUGGCAGUGAGGUAACACAACGUAAAAUAGGCGAAAAAAAAAAGAAUAACAUUUACCAAUAUACAUGCAUCACUCUGUUACUGCACUAUCGUCUAUCCAUCACCACAUUUC
RNAcentral lists this long non-coding RNA (34308 nucleotides) under Citrus sinensis (sweet orange). Its description in RNAcentral is "long non-coding RNA (CSIN_LNC004925)". The record is from RNAcentral. Lineage: Eukaryota; Viridiplantae; Streptophyta; Magnoliopsida; Sapindales; Rutaceae.